This 197-nucleotide ribosomal RNA is filed under the name uncultured fungus. RNAcentral describes it as "partial 18S ribosomal RNA". It matches the Rfam family "Eukaryotic small subunit ribosomal RNA", at positions 555 to 755 of the family's 1831-position model. The record is from RNAcentral. Lineage: Eukaryota; Fungi.
GCAAGUCUGGUGCCAGCAGCCGCGGUAAUUCCAGCUCCAAUAGCGUAUAUUAAAGUUGUUGUGGUUAAAAAGCUCGUAGUCGAACCUUGGGCCUGGCUGGCCGGUCCCCCUCACCGGGUGCACUGAUCCAGCCGGGCCUUUCCCUCUGUGGAACCCCAUGGCCUUCACUGGCUGUGUGGGGGAACCAGGACUUUUAC